GGGGGUAUAGCUCAGCUGGGAGAGCGCAUGGUCCGCAACCAUGAGGUCAUCGGUUCGAUCCCGUUUACCUCCACCA
RNAcentral lists this transfer RNA (76 nucleotides) under Holosporales bacterium. RNAcentral's name for it is "tRNA-Ala". It matches the Rfam family "tRNA". From Rfam's summary of the family: Transfer RNA (tRNA) molecules are approximately 80 nucleotides in length. The record is from RNAcentral. Lineage: Bacteria; Pseudomonadati; Pseudomonadota; Alphaproteobacteria; Holosporales.